This 497-nucleotide ribosomal RNA is filed under the name uncultured bacterium. Its description in RNAcentral is "partial 16S ribosomal RNA". It matches the Rfam family "Bacterial small subunit ribosomal RNA", at positions 28 to 507 of the family's 1533-position model. The record is from RNAcentral.
GAUGAACGCUGGCGGCGUGCCUAAUACAUGCAAGUCGAGCGAACAGACGAGGAGCUUGCUCCUCUGACGUUAGCGGCGGACGGGUGAGUAACACGUGGAUAACCUACCUAUAAGACUGGGAUAACUUCGGGAAACCGGAGCUAAUACCGGAUAAUAUAUUGAACCGCAUGGUUCAAUAGUUAAAGACGGUUUUGCUGUCACUUAUAGAUGGAUCCGCGUCGCAUUAGCUAGUUGGUAAGGUAACGGCUUACCAAGGCAACGAUGCGUAGCCGACCUGAGAGGGUGAUCGGCCACACUGGAACUGAGACACGGUCCAGACUCCUACGGGAGGCAGCAGUAGGGAAUCUUCCGCAAUGGGCGAAAGCCUGACGGAGCAACGCCGCGUGAGUGAUGAAGGUCUUCGGAUCGUAAAACUCUGUUAUUAGGGAAGAACAAAUGUGUAAGUAAAUAUGCACGUCUUGACGGUACCUAAUCAGAAAGCCACGGCUAACUACGUG